Molecule: long non-coding RNA, 356 nt
Organism: Ictalurus punctatus (channel catfish)
Lineage: Eukaryota; Metazoa; Chordata; Actinopteri; Siluriformes; Ictaluridae
Source: Ensembl
GUAGUUAGAGGUGGUUUGUGCUGGUUUGCUCUGGUUAGAGGGGGUUUGUUGUGGUUAGAGGGGGUUUGUUGUGGUUAGAGGGGGUUUGUGGUGGUUUGUUGUGGUUAGAGGUGGUUUGUUGUGGUUAGAGGUGGUUUGUUGUGGUUAGAGGUGGUUUGUGGUGGUUUGCUGUGGUUAGAGGUGGUUUAUGGUGGUUUGUUGUGACCAAAUUGAAAGUCAGAGUUUGUACAGCAGAAAUGCUCCUCAAUCAGGUUGAAUAAUCUGAGAAAAGUUGGCAUUUAUUGCAGGGUUUAUUUCAACAAACUUUGUUUACCUGCAAUUUUGUUUUUCUUCAUGUGUCUGUUCCUGAAUGCCAC